UUGAAGGUUCAUUAGCAGAGUA
This 22-nucleotide microRNA is filed under the name Rattus norvegicus (Norway rat). Its description in RNAcentral is "rno-miR-3084a-1-5p". The record is from miRBase by way of RNAcentral. Lineage: Eukaryota; Metazoa; Chordata; Mammalia; Rodentia; Muridae.